RNAcentral lists this ribosomal RNA (288 nucleotides) under uncultured bacterium. Its description in RNAcentral is "partial 16S ribosomal RNA". It matches the Rfam family "Bacterial small subunit ribosomal RNA", at positions 775 to 1067 of the family's 1533-position model. The record is from RNAcentral.
GGAUUAGAUACCCUGGUAGUCCACGCUGUAAACGAUUAUUACUCGCUGUUGGCGAUACACUGUCAGCGGCUAAGCGAAAGUGAUAAGUAAUCCACCUGGGGAGUACGUUCGCAAGAAUGAAACUCAAAGGAAUUGACGGGGGCCCGCACAAGCGGUGGAGCAUGUGGUUUAAUUCGAUGAUACGCGAGGAACCUUACCAGGGCUUAAAUGUAGAACGACCGAUUUGGAAACAAGUCUUCUCUUUGAGCGGUCUACAAGGUGCUGCAUGGUCGUCGUCAGCUCGUGUUG